Molecule: long non-coding RNA, 332 nt
Filed under: Gallus gallus (chicken)
Lineage: Eukaryota; Metazoa; Chordata; Aves; Galliformes; Phasianidae
Source: RNAcentral
UUGAGACUUGGGGAUACCAGGGGGUAAGCACCCCUUCCCUGCCUGCCUCUGCUCCCUUCCCUUGCCUGUAGCCAGGGGGUGCACAGCGAUGCCAGCCCUUGCCCACGCUGUCCCUGCAGGAAUGCCCUAGGGCAGGUCCCUGUGCACCAUGCCCUGCAGCAUGGGGGGGUACGGUCACAUUCUGCCCCAGCCCCACGUGCUGCAUCUGCCCCUGCUGGGGCUGCGCUGCUUGGAAGGUGCUGAGUGUGACAUUCCUCUGUCCGCCCGGGUCCGGAGCGGUGCUUUUCCAGCCGCACUGGGUUUUGGUUUCUAUGUGCCUUGCUGAAAGCCGU